AUGGACUUUAUCACGGGGUUACCCAGGACCCGUUCAGGUUAUGAUUCCAUUUGGGUGAUAGUGGAUCGUUUGACCAAGGUUGCUCACUUCAUUCCAGUGAAGACCACCUAUACAAGUGCUAAGCUGGCAAAGAUAUAUAUGACCAGGAUCGUAUGUCUGCAUGGAGUUCCGAGGAGCAUCGUAUCAGAUAGAGGAACACAGUUUACCUCAAAGUUUUGGAAUCAGUUGCAUGAAACUUUGGGUACCAGGCUAGAGUUCAGUACAGCCUUCCAUCCACAGACUGAUGGGCAGACAGAGAGAGUCAAUCAGAUUCUGGAGGACAUG
RNAcentral lists this ribosomal RNA (324 nucleotides) under Triticum aestivum (bread wheat). RNAcentral describes it as "partial small subunit ribosomal RNA". The record is from RNAcentral. Lineage: Eukaryota; Viridiplantae; Streptophyta; Magnoliopsida; Poales; Poaceae.